RNAcentral lists this ribosomal RNA (253 nucleotides) under uncultured bacterium. RNAcentral's name for it is "partial 16S ribosomal RNA". It matches the Rfam family "Bacterial small subunit ribosomal RNA", at positions 524 to 776 of the family's 1533-position model. The record is from RNAcentral.
UACGUAGGGGGCUAGCGUUGUCCGGAAUUAUUGGGCGUAAAGAGCUCGUAGGCGGUCUGUCGCGUCGGCUGUGAAAACCCGGGGCUCAACCCCGGGCCUGCAGUCGAUACGGGCAGACUAGAGUGCGGUAGGGGAGACUGGAAUUCCUGGUGUAGCGGUGAAAUGCGCAGAUAUCAGGAGGAACACCGGUGGCGAAGGCGGGUCUCUGGGCCGUAACUGACGCUGAGGAGCGAAAGCGUGGGGAGCGAACAGG